AAUCCAUGGUGAGGGCACCUUCUUAACAAGUCCUUGUAUCUCUCUCAUGCGUCAUAAAGAGUUUCUAGAUUCAUCUGCACAAAAGAAGAGAUACCAUUCCUUAGUUU
This is a non-coding RNA of Gossypium hirsutum (cotton), 107 nucleotides long. The record is from Rfam. NCBI's taxonomy places the organism in Eukaryota, Viridiplantae, Streptophyta, Magnoliopsida, Malvales, Malvaceae.